Molecule: long non-coding RNA, 4601 nt
Filed under: Sus scrofa (pig)
Lineage: Eukaryota; Metazoa; Chordata; Mammalia; Artiodactyla; Suidae
Description: lncRNA (ENSSSCG00035034958.1)
Source: RNAcentral
AAUCUCUGGCAUAGAUUUAACUCAUAAAAUUAUUGUUAUUUACACUUCUUUGGCAUCUUUUAAAUAGGAUCUUAGAGCAGAUUGUGAAGAGUUCAUUUUUUUUAUUAUUGUCAUGAAAAAGCUCCGCAAUGGACUAAAGAGAUUAUUUUGUAUGUUAAACAAUGCUUUCAACUUACUCUGUAGCUAUUGAAACUGUCAUGUCAACAUUAAGACACAUAGAAUGUUAGCAAAUCUGUGUCUCCUAAAAAAAAAUCCAACAAAGUAUCUACAUAUUUUCUAACAAAUAGUUUAAAAUGAUACUUUUUACUAUUAAAACAAGCUUCUUAUACUAACCACUUAAAAGACAGUGAGCCAGUGAAUUAAUCUUUUUAGUCCUCAUUUUCCUCUUCUAUAUUUAUUAGUUCAGUAAGCUCAUUGCUGAAAAUUUUGCAGGGCUUUCUGAUUCUUUUUCUCCUUAUAUUUCACUAGCAUUUUCAAAUUACAACACUGGCAACGUAACCAUCUCUCCAAGUCUCAGGAACAGAUUAGGUGUACCCCAUAUACUUGCAGAGCAUCCUGUUAUAAUCCUGUUCCUCUUUUAUAUAAUUUAUCAUAUAAAAUGAGUAUCUGCAUGUUUAACAGGUUAGUCUUUUACUCCAAAGCAGAUGAUACAUUAUUUAAGGAAAAGAAUUUAUGUUAUUCAGAGGUAUUGAGGUUAAAGCACUCUAAAAAUAUUAAGUUGAUUUUAUUUAUAUUAUUUUUGCAAAAUUGUACUAUGUAUUUGUAUUUGAAUGUAAGGCUUCAUUAAGAUAGUUUAAAACUUACAUGGUUAUAUAUCUCUAUGCCCAUCAUAAAGAACUGGUAAUAUAAUACUACUGUAGACAAUCGGUAACUGUUUACUUGAGAAUGGAGAUUAUGAUUAUUUUCCUAACACAGGACGACAUUUCAUAUAAUAUUUCAAAAUAAAUUGCUAAAAAUUAUUUUAAAAAUAAGUAAACUCUAUAGUAAAUGAUUACUUUUAUAUUAGAUAUGGAGAGUGACUGUGGUAAAGGAUGACAAGAAGUCUAAACUGAGAAACAUUACUUGAUUUGAGAGAGCAAGGGGAAUUCUAUGAGAGAGGUCCCACCUUAAGAAUCAAAUUUUUGCAAUAUAACAUUUGAAUGUUAUAAUAAAAUAAUAAUGAGGAUAUUGGAAUGUACUUACUGCAAGUAAAAAAUGAGAACUAUGGGGAUAAUUUAAAGGUCACAAGUAAUCAUGACUCAGAAAGAUAUAUGAUCACUAUAUGCCUGGAGCUAUCAAAGGGUGAUGUCAUAAAAUUUGACAACUCUUGGUCCAAGCAACUGAGCUCACCUAUGUAAAGUAUAGCACACCAAAGCCCAUUUACAAAAGCUAAUUCCAUUUAUCACUGAGGGAAUUUUGUCACUUUUGUUUUAAUUUUUCCAUAUAAAUUCUUCUAAGGGGACUGAUUUUUCUUAUUAAUUACAUGCAUUCCAACCCAAACAAUAUCCGAAAGACAAAAGUGAAGAUUGAGUAUAUACAUUAAGUAAAGCACAAAGAGUUACAAAUCAGGGUCAGCUUUUAAAAUGAGAGCAGUAGGUGACUGUUCCACUUUUGGGUCGGUCUUGGUAUUCUAUUUCCACUAACAGUAGAAGACUUGGUGGUCAGUUGAUUGUCACGUUUUUUUAGGACCACACCCAUAGCAUAUGGAAGGUCCCAUGCUAGGGGUCAGAGCUUCAGCUGUCUGCCCAUGCCACAGCCACAGCAAUGCCAGAUCCAACUGCAACACUGGAUCUUUAACCCACUGAAUGGGGCCAGGGAUCAAACCUGCACCUUCAUGGAUACCAGGAACUCCAUAUGGAGUGGGAUAGCCAAAAAAAAAAAAAAAAAAAAAAAAAACAGGAAAACAAAACAAAACCUUAAUCUCAUUCAUUUAGUAUUGAUUCAAUUACAUUUGAUCUCAUUCAGAAUCUCAGGAACCAAAUCUAAGUGAAAUUGUGAUGGUGGUGAUUUAUCUUUGGUAAUAUGGUUAUAUCCCUAUUUUACUAUACAUUUCUACCAAGACUUUUAAUGGUGUAGUACAUAGAAAUUAGGCAUUGAAGAAAAUAUUUCUGAGGAUUUAAAUACUGCCUCAAUGCCUUAUUAGUUUUUGAUCUUGGAUAUAUUCCCUGAGGCAACUGAAACUGAGCCUACUCUUCUAUAAAGUGGUGACAAUAAUGCUUUCCUACAAACUGGGAUAUUGUAGAAGUAAGCAAGAUAACCUUUAUGAAGCACCUAGUAGCAUGAUGGACACAUCUUAAGUCCUCAGUAAAUGGAACAAUCGAAUUGACUUCCCCAAAAGGACUUACUUUUAACAUUUAAUUCUCCGCUAGAUGUAUCUGUAUUUCACUGACUGCUUUUAAAAAUUGUGAAAAAUUUCAAAACACUAAAGGAGCAUGAUGUAAUAGUCAGAGCUGCACAUUCAAAACUUAAGACCAGCCCUUACUAGGUUUUAUCACAUCAGAUGAGAACUUGAACCUCAGCUCCUUAUCUAUAGAUUGAGGCUAACAGGAUUAUUACAGAGCCAAGAUCUAUGAGUUUGUGUUUAUCUGUCUGAAAAAAAAAAAAAAAUUUCAGUAGGCAUCAGCUUCUCUUCCAAUUGCUGCAAUGGGACUAUUUCAGGCAAACUUGCUAUCCUUCAUCACAAGUGUGUGUCAACUACGUCUAGUAUGAUUGCUCUUGCAGCUCCCCCUGGAAGAUAGUGCAAUUCUUGGAGGAAUUUGCCUUUUGCAGGUGAGGGCAAAUAGAGCUACAUCAUCAUUUUUAAUACAUCUCUCCAGGCAGCACAUACUCAUUCAUAAGAAUUGGCUUACAAAUUAUAAGGCCUAUGCUCUUCCUCUAGAAUGAGAAGAAAAUUCAAAUGAUAUCAAUGAAGAGACAGUUAAAUAAGUGAAGCCUAAUGGGGAGAAAGAUGAACAAUGGUAAUGAAGAUUCAAGUGAUGAGACUUGAGACUCAAUGACCUCAAGUGAUGGGAAUAAUAGGCAGUGAUAGGGACCAUUUGAAUUUGAGGGAAUCUGCACUAGAGUGGUAGGUAAAGCUGAAUUCUAGAUGUUUUUUGCAGUCCUUCAAGAAGGAGGGUUGCAUUGCUGGUUCAUCAAAGCAUUCAGGUGAAGCUAAAAUUUCUUAAUUCUUAAGUGCUGGCAGCUAAUUCAGACUUAAAACACUACCGGACCAAAUUAUAAAUAAGCCUAUGGGCUGUAUUCAGAUCUCAGGCAGAAACUAAUAUCUUUGUAAGCACAAGCAGCUAAAAUAUAAAAAACAGAGAGUCACUCAUCUAGCAAAACUCUGUUCCUUUCACUUCAGGAAACUCAAAAUAAUUUCUAAAAUUUUUUGUUUAAGAAUAAAUCAGAGGGAGGAAAUCAGGCAACUGUGGUUACUUUAUACAGACAUACCAAAAAAUGGAAGCAUGGGAAAAUAAGAAUUAAAAGUUAUUCCUAUUAAGAUUUUUUUUCCCACAGCGAUAUUUUUGAAUAAGUAGAAUUUGCAAAUUGUUAUAGAGAAAUAACUGGAAGUAGGACUGCCAGGUAGGGAACUAUAUCACCCGAGAAGUGUAGUUAUUGAAUCCACCUUCCUGUGAAAAGUCUUAAAGUAGAAAAUGUAGGGGUGAAUAGCUUAGCCCCUUGAAAGAUAUAUCCUUUAAGAUCAGCAAAUUAUAUAUAUUUUUCCACCUGCCACCCUGAUUCACAGUAUAGGGACUCAGGGCGCAUCUGUCAGUACUUAGCUCCAUUUUCCCCUCUGCGGCCUCACUGCAGGAGUUUUACAAGAUGGAAAAUUCACUUAGGCUACCUGCUCCAGAUAAAAGUCUGGAUUGGUGAACUAAAAUCCCAAGAGCCUCUGGUACAUACUUCAGUUCGACAGAGAAAAAUUUUAACUGCACUUGAAAGAAAAUGACCCUGGAAAAUAGGUUAGCAAGGCAGCAGGAAGUGUGUGCCUGGAUAUGUUUUGAAUUUUGAAUUCUAAGUACUCUUUAUAGGCAGAAAAUGCUGUUUUAUGCCUCUAGCUAUAAGACAAAAAUAAAACAGAACCCUGCCACCCUCUUAUCAAACCAUAAACUUCCUCCAAGAGGCUUGAUCUGUAGAGUAGCAUGCAUGAAUUAUUUGUGCUUUAAAAAACAUUUUGAACAAAAGCAAAAGCUGACUCUUUCCAACAAUUUAAAGAACAGGUUUUCCUUGUCAGAUGAAACUAUUUUUAAAAGGGGUAAAAAAUUAACAAUAUGUGUAAUUUAUAGACCUUAAAUUUUAAAAUUAAUGAAUUCAUGUUAUUAUUUUAUUUUUAAAUUGAAGAAAAAAUUAAAAUAUCUUUAAUAUCUCGUAGACCAUAUGUCUGCAUGACCAAAUGUUGAUUAAAUUAAAAGGAAUAUUUAUUUGUGGGAACAUUAAAUAUCUCUCUUACAUACACAUACACUCCAAGUAUACAUGCAAUUUGUCCUUGUGUACUUAUAUAUAAAAUGUUGAUUUUGGAAUAUACUACUCUUAGUAGAUAGCCAGAGAAUACAUAGAUGGAUACAUACAUAAAUGCACACAUACUUGCAUGUAUAAGGAGAGUGCAUAGGUAGGGAGGGAUUUUAUUGUUUAAUAUAAGGAUU